GAAACACGGACCAAGGAGUCUAGCAUGUGCGCGAGUCAUUGGGAUCAACUAAACCUAAAGGCGCAAUGAAAGUGAAGGUCCGCCUCGCGCGGACCGAGGGAAGACGGGCGUCGACCCAUUCGGCGGCGCCCCGCACUCCCGGGGCGUCUCGUUCUCAUUGCGAGAAGAGGCGCACCAAGAGCGUACACGCUGGGACCCGAAAGAUGGUGAACUAUGCCUGGUCAGGACGAAGUCAGGGGAAACCCUGAUGGAGGUCCGUAGCGAUUCUGACGUGCAAAUCGAUCGUCAGAACUGGGUAUAGGGGCGAAAGACUAAUCGAACCAUCUAGUAGCUGGUUCCCUCCGAAGUUUCCCUCAGGAUAGCUGGCGCUCGUCGUCUACGAGUCUCAUUCGGUAAAGCGAAUGAUUAGAGGCAUUGGGGUCGAAACGGCCUCAACCUAUUCUCAAACUUUAAAUGAGUGAGAUCUCCGGCUUGCUUGAACUCAUGAAGCCGCGAGACUUGGAUCAGAGUGCCAAGUGGGCCAUUUUUGGUAAGCAGAACUGGCGCUGUGGGAUGAACCAAACGCCGAGUUAAAGCGCCUAAAUCGACGCUUAUGGGAUACCAUGAAAGGCGUUGGUAACUUAAGACAGCAGGACGGUGGCCAUGGAAGUCGGAAUCCG
This 659-nucleotide ribosomal RNA is filed under the name Phyllobaenus humeralis. RNAcentral's name for it is "partial 28S large subunit ribosomal RNA". It matches the Rfam family "Eukaryotic large subunit ribosomal RNA", at positions 656 to 1270 of the family's 3401-position model. The record is from RNAcentral. Lineage: Eukaryota; Metazoa; Arthropoda; Insecta; Coleoptera; Cleridae.